UCAUUAAAGUCUGGUUCUUUUCUUGGCCACCGCUUAAAACCCAGUAACCAAUUCAUACAUACAAGAAUCAAAACUCAUUCAAAGUGUGGCCACCGUCACACAGAAAUCCAGAAGAGCAGUCAAUUUCAACAAAGUUCUUCAGGAGUAACUCCAAUCUCGCUUUUCAGGACAAGAUAUCAACAGGUCACACCAUCGAAGCAAACGUAAGUUUUGUCGCUUUAUCGACGUCGAGAGAUGAUAAC
Rhodamnia argentea is the source of this 242-nucleotide long non-coding RNA. RefSeq lists it as uncharacterized. Lineage: Eukaryota; Viridiplantae; Streptophyta; Magnoliopsida; Myrtales; Myrtaceae. The transcript is spliced from 3 exons. The record is from RefSeq and is a predicted model, not a curated record.